UCUGAUAGCUCAACUAUUAGGCUUCGGGGGAUACUGCCAGACUGGAACCGGGAGAGGUAAGAGGUACUACAGGGGUAGGAGUGAAAUCUUGUAAUCCCUGUGGGACCACCUGUGGCGAAGGCGUCUUACCAGAACGGGUUCGACGGUGAGGGACGAAAGCUGGGGGCACGAACCGGAUUAGAUACCCGGUAGUCCCAGCCGUAAACGAUGCUCGCUAGGUGUCAGGCAUGGCGCGACCGUGUCUGGUGCCGCAGGGAAGCCGUGAAGCGAGCCACCUGGGAAGUACGGCCGCAAGGCUGAAACUUAAAGGAAUUGGCGGGGGAGCACAACAACGGGUGGAAGCCUGCGGUUUAAUUGGACUCAACGCCGGACAACUCACCGGGGGCGACAGCAAUAUGUAGGCCAAGCUGAAGACUUUGCCUAGAAUCGCUGAGGGGUGGUGCAUGG
This 447-nucleotide ribosomal RNA is filed under the name uncultured archaeon. RNAcentral's name for it is "bacterial SSU rRNA". It matches the Rfam family "Archaeal small subunit ribosomal RNA", at positions 550 to 997 of the family's 1478-position model. The record is from RNAcentral.